AGUCGAGAAUAGUCUACAAUGGACGAAAGUCUGAUAGUGCGACGCCGCGUGGACGAAGAAGCAUUUCGGUGUGUAAAGUCCUUUUCUGCGUGAGCAGGUUUGUAUAGAUUAAUAGUUUAUACGGAUAGAUAUUAGCGCAGGAAUAAGCCACGGCUAACUCCGUGCCAGCAGCCGCGGUAACACGGGGGUGGCGAGCGUUGUCCGGAAUUACUAGGCGUAAAGGGCAAGUAGGCGGAAUAGUAAGUCAGAUGUUAAAGGCAUGGGCUCAACCGAUGUACGGCAUUUGAUACUGUUAUUCUAGAGUAAGGUGGGGGAAGACGGAAUUCCUGGUGUAGCGGUGGAAUGCGCAGAUAUCAGGAGGAACACCAGAGGCGAAGGCGGUCUUCUAUACCAUUACUGACGCUGAAUUGCGAAGGUGUGGGUAUCAAACAGGAUUAGAUACCCUGGUAGUCCACACAGUAAACGAUGUGCACUAGAUGUUGGGAGUUAUACACUUUCAGUGUCGCAGCAAACGCGUUAAGUGCAUCGCCUGGGGAGUACGAUCGCAAGGUUA
RNAcentral lists this ribosomal RNA (553 nucleotides) under uncultured bacterium. RNAcentral's name for it is "bacterial SSU rRNA". It matches the Rfam family "Bacterial small subunit ribosomal RNA", at positions 353 to 896 of the family's 1533-position model. The record is from RNAcentral.